GGCUGGGGACCUGUCCAUCCGACUCCAGAACCAUGUGACUGACCGCUGCGCCACACUGCCUUGGGUACAGGAGGCCAGGGUCCCGGCCCACACCCUCCUGGCUCAGAGAGGCCACCUGCAGCCCCACGGCUGUGAGCUUCUCAGCAGGGAACUCAGACGCCAGGCGCUGCAGGCAAUACCGCCCUCCAGCGCCCACCAGGAUACAGGCCCGGCAUCCUUGAGAUCUUCAGGCACAGUCUCAUAGACUUCCGGGCCAGCAAGGACCUCUUUAGGGCUGCUUCUCCCUCGGUAAAGUGUGCUAGAUAAUCAGGAAAAUUUGAGAGCUGAAAACUUGGAUUCUCAGACUGUAGGAAUUCCUUUAUACGUGGUGCACAGGGAGGAGUCCGGCUGCUAUAUAUGGAGUACUGUUUGCUAGGCUCUGUGCGUCUCAUAUAUGAUCACACUGAACCAGCAGCCCAUUUUGCAGAGGAGGAAACUGAGGCUCAGAAACAUGACAUCACUUGCCCCAGGUCACACUGCAAGUUGAGGAGGAGCUGAGAUUUGAACUCAGCUCUGUCCAGCCUCCAAGAGGGUAUCUUCCAAGCAUCACCUUGCACAGGAGAAACUGGCCCAGGCAGGGCAGUGCCCUUGCAGUCACACAGCGAGACUGUCAGCCAGCCCAGGCCCGGAGGCCUCCUCACUCUGGCCUGGCCUCUGCCCCAUUUGGGGAAUACUGCCUGUCCCCACUUCACCCACAAAAUGUCUGUAGGCUGCAAAGGAGCCAACACGUUCCCAGCAGCUCGUGAAAAACAUAAUCUUUCUCUCCAUUAAUUUAGAAGCCGA
Vicugna pacos (alpaca) is the source of this 822-nucleotide non-coding RNA. The record is from RefSeq and is a predicted model, not a curated record. NCBI's taxonomy places the organism in Eukaryota, Metazoa, Chordata, Mammalia, Artiodactyla, Camelidae.